ACACUUACAUAUCAGAAAGAAAAAGGAGAAGUAACGUAAUCAGGAAGGUGGAUUCCUUGCAUUCGGGCUAUGCUGACUCCUACAGUUCCCAAAUGUAGGGAAACUUGAUGGCAUAACUUGCAGUAGUGAGAGAGUGCAUUUGUGUUCUCCUCUGC
This is a small nuclear RNA of Apteryx haastii (Great spotted kiwi), 155 nucleotides long. Its record names the gene U1. It matches the Rfam family "U1 spliceosomal RNA". Rfam says of the family: U1 is a small nuclear RNA (snRNA) component of the spliceosome (involved in pre-mRNA splicing). Its 5' end forms complementary base pairs with the 5' splice junction, thus defining the 5' donor site of an intron. NCBI's taxonomy places the organism in Eukaryota, Metazoa, Chordata, Aves, Apterygiformes, Apterygidae. The record is from Ensembl.